GUCGGGGGGGGCUAGAUGCGGGAAGACUGGGAGGCAAAAUGUUAAUGAAACGCUCAAACACUAGGCCCACGUUUUGUGAUUGUGAUGUCAAACAAUGUGACGGGGCGGGCGUGCUGCUGUGUAAGGGCUCCAGCUAUAGCCGAUGUGUGAAAAGGCGUGAGCAAAAAGGGAAGAGUUGGGGAUAACAAGCUAUUAGUCAGCGCUACAACAACGUCAGAGACGAGGAUCCACGGAGGACGAUGUGUCCCAUCCGGGCUGCCGUUACCGGUGCUGCGCUGCUAAGCCGGGAUGACUAACUCCGUCGAUGUCCCACCCCCACAGUGUACACUACAACUCCGGCACUAUUCCUGUACCAGCCACAUCGCUCUGGCACGGAAAUACCAGCACCUCCAAGAACAGACGCCAAGCCUGUCAGAGCAUCAUCACAACCCACAGGACAGCUGGGAGGAGGAGGAGGGAGGACAACGCAAACAGAACAGAAGCAAAAGCAUGAGGAGCGAUGAGCACAGCUGCCGCGGAGAGAAAAGAACCAACAGCGAGACAAAAGAGGAAAUGAAGACUGCGUCUCUGAAGGAGGGAUCGCCGUUUACACUCAUGCGCCGGUAGAUCGGCCUCAAAGCAACCGCUUCUCACGCGUCUGAGGAAGCGUGUGCUGGAAUAACACAAUGUUUAAGGGCCACAAGCUGACGACAAUGGAGGAAAGGAAAAGCUGUCAAAUUUGCACUUGCUUCUUUAUUUGGAUACUUACGUCAAAGUACUGUAUGCUGAAGUACUGUGUUGGCAAAGUGGGCAGCCGCCCAGGUGGGACUGGCUCUCCAUGAGUUGGCUCAAUGCAUUGUUUUACAUCAAGGUGAUGGUCAGCAGACACGGCUAUCUCAGGUUGCCUACAAGUCUCCACAGCUAAUGUGAUGAUUAAUGUGCCCCCCUCAGAGCUUACAACGUAAGACAGGUCACAGUGUGUACAAAACACUGUGAUAUCUAGAAAUUUAAUAUCACAAACCAACAAGAAAAUCUUCAAAACCCAGUAAUGCAAAUAGUAAAUCUUGCGUAUGUAAAUCAUAAGAUGUAUUAACUAAUACAUUGCAGCCUUGUGUAAAGCACAGUGCGGGGUCACCAUAGAGGAAACCUCAUCUAUUGCCCAGGGGACACAGAGGGAACAGACCUCUCAGGGGCACAAAUAUAUCAUACAGUGGUUCACAGUCAGAAAAAAACCCUCAUAAGGUAAAUUAGCGAACGUCUGUCAUGUUAAAGUCACAUGUUAAUGCUGGUGGAGAGCCGAGAUAAAGAGUAAGAUUUAGAUAAAUGCAAAUCAAAUAAUAAAACAGGUAGAUGUGAAGGAGAGGUCAAAUACUGAUAGAAAUCUAAGCAUCACUCUCUAUGGGUCCUUUCUGUCUCACUCAUCUCCUUCCUUUUGCUUUCUCUCCUCUCUUUAUCACAAUGUAGAUGGACGGUUGCCGAGGGCAACCUGUGUGUACUCACCUAAUGAUGAACAGGAAGUGGUGUGUGUGCAAAGAUGCUAUUAAUAGCAGCAUGUGUAGAAAGGACAUUUGCUCACUCAGUGAUGUGUGUGUGCGCAUAAGAGCACCUGUGUGUGUGUGUGUGUGUGUGUGUGUGUGUGUGUGUGUGUGUGUGUGUGUGUGUGUGUGUGUGUGAGCGAGCAGCCAGCAUGUAACAGGGAGGAGGAGGAUGCAGAUUGUGAGACUCAGACAGUUACUAGAGAGAAGAGGGGGGGGGGGGGGAGUGAGGGAUGAACGGAGGGAGUGAGGGAACGUAGUAGAGGAGGGGGCGAGUGUGUGUUGACGCUGUACGUGGCGUCAGUGCGAUAAGAAUAGAGAUGGUGCGUGUAGCGCUGCUGAGACAUCACCCUCACACCCUCAGUGGGGCAGGCAGGACUCACUCUGAGUGUGUGUGUGUCUGUCAACGAGUGCAUGGCUGAUAUUGCCGAGGGUAUUCUCAUGUGUGUGUGGAUGAGUAAACUGGUGGGGUUGCAGUGAUUUUUUUCCCUUCACUUGUGUAAUUGCAGUUAUGUGUACAAGUUUCACCUGGAAACGCUCCUUCCUUUUUCAUCUCAACCUAUUUUAAGGCAUUGCGCACGACGCUGGAGCAACUUUAGAAGGUAAAAGAAUAGUUUGGGGAAAACAAGUUAAUACUGUGAUUUAUGUUCAGUUUUUACAGCAAUGUUAUUUUUAUUAAAGCAAUGCUUUGAACAGACAGAAAUAAUGAAUAAGACGACUAUUAAGCUCUAUUUGUUAAUAUAAAAUCUACUGCAUUACUCUUCUGAGAAAUGUAAUAGUAUUACAUAAUAUUUAAAUGAGGGUUCUGCAUCCUCUGCACAGACACAUUGUGAAACAAUGGGCCCCUGGUCAUAGACAUGGAAGUGGUCCCUCAUUUCUCUUAAAUCCAAGACAAACAGCCUCAAUUAGACACAAACAGCCGCAAACAAUGCAGCUGUUUAAUCACUUUGUA
Molecule: long non-coding RNA, 2466 nt
Organism: Betta splendens (Siamese fighting fish)
Lineage: Eukaryota; Metazoa; Chordata; Actinopteri; Anabantiformes; Osphronemidae
Exons: 2
Source: RefSeq, a predicted model, not a curated record